GCCUUCGUGGUGUAGUGGUCAGCCCGCUCGAUGCGUAACCGAGAGGUCCGUGGUUCGAUUCCUGGCGAAGGCG
Molecule: non-coding RNA, 73 nt
Organism: Stegodyphus mimosarum
Lineage: Eukaryota; Metazoa; Arthropoda; Arachnida; Araneae; Eresidae
Source: Rfam